AGUCACUGACAUUAGAUACCCCUGUAGUCCAGGGUGUAAACGCUGCAGACUUGGUGUUGGAGGCCCUUUGGGGGCAUUCAGUGCCGGAGAGAAGUUGUUAAGUCUGCUACUUGGGAGUACGUCCGCAAGGAUGAAACUUAAAGGAAUUGGCGGGGGAGCACCGCAACGGGAGGAGCGUGCGGUUUAAUUUGGAUUCAACACCGUAAACUCACCAGGGAAGACUGUUACAUGAAGGCCGAGAUGAAGACUCUGCUAGAUUUUUCAG
Molecule: ribosomal RNA, 265 nt
Filed under: uncultured archaeon
Lineage: Archaea
Description: partial 16S ribosomal RNA
Rfam family: Archaeal small subunit ribosomal RNA
Source: RNAcentral